This 252-nucleotide ribosomal RNA is filed under the name uncultured bacterium. RNAcentral describes it as "partial 16S ribosomal RNA". It matches the Rfam family "Bacterial small subunit ribosomal RNA", at positions 525 to 776 of the family's 1533-position model. The record is from RNAcentral.
ACGUAGGUGGCAAGCGUUACUCGGAAUCACUAGGCGUAAAGCGCAGGUAGGAGGUUUGGUAAGUCUGUUGUGAAAGCUCCCGGCUUAACUGGGAGAGGUCAACGGAAACUACUAGGCUAGAGUGCGGUAGAGGUAGCUGGAAUUCCCGGUGUAGCGGUGAAAUGCGUAGAUAUCGGGAGGAAUACCUAUGGCGAAAGCAGGCUACUGGACCGUCACUGACUCUGAUCUGCGAAAGCUAGGGGAGCAAACAGG